GACGAAUGCUGGCGGCGUGCCUAAUACAUGCGAGUAGAACGCACAGUUUAUACCGUAGCUUGCUACACCAUAGACUGUGAGUUGCGAACGGGUGAGUAACGCGUAGGUAACCUGCCUGGUAGCGGGGGAUAACUAUUGGAAACGAUAGCUAAUACCGCAUAAUAUUAAUUAUUGCAUGAUAAUUAAUUGAAAGGUGCAAUUGCACCACUACCAGAUGGACCUGCGUUGUAUUAGCUAGUAGGUGAGGUAACGGCUCACCUAGGCGACGAUACAUAGCCGACCUGAGAGGGUGAUCGGCCACACUGGGACUGAGACACGGCCCAGACUCCUACGGGAGGCAGCAGUAGGGAAUCUUCGGCAAUGGACGAAAGUCUGACCGAGCAACGCCGCGUGAGUGAAGAAGGUUUUCGGAUCGUAAAGCUCUGUUGUAAGAGAAGAACGGGUGUGAGAGUGGAAAGUUCACACUGUGACGGUAUCUUACCAGAAAGGGACGGCUAACUACGUG
Molecule: ribosomal RNA, 505 nt
Filed under: uncultured bacterium
Lineage: Bacteria
Description: partial 16S ribosomal RNA
Rfam family: Bacterial small subunit ribosomal RNA
Source: RNAcentral